CUACGGGAGGCAGCAGUGGGGAAUAUUGCACAAUGGGCGCAAGCCUGAUGCAGUGACGCCGCGUGAGGGAUGACGGCCUUUGGGUUGUAAACCUCUUUCAGCAGGGACGAAGCGCAAGUGACGGUACCUGCAGAAGAAGCACCGGCUAACUACGUGCCAGCAGCCGCGGUAAUACGUAGGGUGCAAGCAUUGUCCGGAUUUAUUGGGCGUAAAGAGCUCGUAGGCGGUCUGCCACGUCGGAUGUGAAAACUCGGGGCUCAACCCCGAGCCUGCAUCCGAUACGGGCAGACUCGAGUGUUGCAGGGGAGACUGGAAUUCCUGGUGUAGCGGUGAAAUGCGCAGAUAUCAGGAGGAACACCGGUGGCGAAGGCGGGUCUCUGGGCAACUACUGACGCUGAGGAGCGAAAGCGUGGGGAGCAAACAGGAUUAGAAACCCGAGUAGUCC
Molecule: ribosomal RNA, 445 nt
Filed under: uncultured bacterium
Lineage: Bacteria
Description: bacterial SSU rRNA
Rfam family: Bacterial small subunit ribosomal RNA
Source: RNAcentral